GGAUAUGGUUAUGGGCUCGGAAAUCUAGUUCGGGAAAAGUGUGAGGGGCUCUUCACGUGGGGAAGGGACAGCAGGCGCGGACGAGGGGGCAAGCGUGUGUGAGAUUCAGUGGUCCAUGCGUGCGUUUGUCGUUUCCAAGGAGUUUGGCUCCGUUGACUAUUGGGAGAAGUUCUUCCAGCAGCGAGGAAAGAAAGCUUUCGAGUGGUAUGGAACCUACCUGGAACUGUGCGGGGUGCUACACAAAUAUAUCAAGCCCAGGGAAAAGGUGCUGGUGAUUGGGUGUGGCAACUCAGAACUGAGUGAGCAACUGUAUGAUGUGGGCUAUCGGGAUAUAGUGAACAUCGACAUCAGUGAGGUUGUCAUCAAGCAAAUGAAGGAAUGUAAUGCCACCCGACGGCCCCAGAUGAGCUUCUUGAAGAUGGACAUGACGCAGAUGGAGUUUCCUGAUGCCUCGUUCCAGGUGGUGUUGGACAAGGGCACCCUGGAUGCUGUCCUGACAGAUGAGGAAGAGAAGACCUUACAACAGGUGGACAGGAUGCUGGCUGAGGUUGGCCGUGUCCUGCAGGGCCGGGAGACCGAGUGGCUCUUUGGCAUGGAUGAGGGCCGGAAACAGCUGGCGGCCAGUGCUGGCUUCAGGAGGUUGAUUACAGUGGCCCUUCACCGAGGUCAGCAGUAUGAAAGCAUGGACCACAUCCAAGCUGAGCUGUCGGCUAGAGUCAUGGAGCUGGCCCCAGCUGGGAUGCCCACCCAGCAGCAGGU
This 759-nucleotide small RNA is filed under the name Pan troglodytes (chimpanzee). RNAcentral's name for it is "processed transcript". The record is from RNAcentral. Lineage: Eukaryota; Metazoa; Chordata; Mammalia; Primates; Hominidae.